AGCAGCCGCGGUAAUUCCAGCUCCAAUAGCGUAUAUUAAAGUUGUUGCAGUUAAAAAGCUCGUAGUUGAAUUUCGAGAUCGGCUUACUGGUCGUGCUAUUGUACGUACUGGUAUAAUCGGUUUCUCCUUUCUGACGAACUAUAAUGCCAUUAAUUUGGUGUUUUAGGGAAUCAGGACUGUUACUUUGAAAAAUUAGAGUGUUUAAAGCAGGCUCACGCUUGAAUACAUUAGCAUGGAAUAACGGAAUAGGACGUUUGAUUCUAUUUUGUUGGUUUCUAGGAUCGACGUAAUGAUUAAUAGGGAUAGUUGGGGGCAUUAGUAUUCAAUUGUCAGAGGUGAAAUUCUUGGAUUUAUUGAAGACUAACUACUGCGAAAGCAUUUGCCAAGGAUGCUUUCAUUAAUCAAGAACGAAAGUUAGGGGAUCGAAGACGAUCAGAUACCGUCGUAGUCUUAACCAUAAACUAUGCCGACUAGGGAUCGGAUGAUGUUAAUUUUUAAUGGCUCA
RNAcentral lists this ribosomal RNA (505 nucleotides) under uncultured Glomeraceae. RNAcentral describes it as "SSU rRNA". It matches the Rfam family "Eukaryotic small subunit ribosomal RNA", at positions 569 to 1078 of the family's 1831-position model. Lineage: Eukaryota; Fungi; Glomeromycota; Glomeromycetes; Glomerales; Glomeraceae. The record is from RNAcentral.